This 255-nucleotide ribosomal RNA is filed under the name uncultured bacterium. Its description in RNAcentral is "partial 16S ribosomal RNA". It matches the Rfam family "Bacterial small subunit ribosomal RNA", at positions 524 to 776 of the family's 1533-position model. The record is from RNAcentral.
UACGUAGGGUACAAGCAUUAAUCGGAAUGAUUGGGCGUAAAGGGCGCGUAGGCGGCCUGGUAAGUCAGAUGUGAAAUUCCAAAGCUCAACUUUGGAGCUGCAUUUGAAACUGCUAGGCUAAAGAGGUAAGACGGAGAAAGCGGAAUUCCACGUGUAGCGGUGAAAUGCGUAGAUAUGUGGAGGAACACCUGUGGCGAAAGCGGCUUUCUAGUUUUAACCUGACGCUGAGGCGCGAGAGCAAGGGGAGCAAACAGG